Molecule: small nucleolar RNA, 77 nt
Organism: Athene cunicularia (burrowing owl)
Lineage: Eukaryota; Metazoa; Chordata; Aves; Strigiformes; Strigidae
Product: small nucleolar RNA SNORD19
Source: Ensembl
GAAAAAUGAAGAUAAUUCUAACUGCUUCCUAUUAUUACAGUGAAGACCUCAGAUCCAACUCUGAUUUCACUCUGGUU